CUAGUGGCGCACGGGUGCGUAACGCGUGGGGAUCUACCAUAGGGUGCGGAAUAACUCAGAGAAAUUUGAGCUAAUACCGCAUAAUGUCUUCGGACCAAAGAUUUAUCGCCCUUUGAUGAACCCGCGUAGGAUUAGCUUGUUGGUGAGGUAAAGGCUCACCAAGACGACGAUCUUUAGCUGGUCUGAGAGGAUGAUCAGCCACACUGGGACUGAGACACGGCCCAGACUCCUACGGGAGGCAGCAGUGGGGAAUAUUGGACAAUGGGCGAAAGCCUGAUCCAGCAAUGCCACGUGAGUGAUGAAGGCCUUAGGGUUGUAAAGCUCUUUUACCAGGGAUGAUAAUGACAGUACCUGGAGAAUAAGCUCCGGCUAACUCCGUGCCAGCAGCCGCGGUAAUACGGAGGGAGCUAGCGUUGUUCGGAAUUACUGGGCGUAAAGCGCGCGUAGGCGGUUACUCAAGUCAGAGGUGAA
This 471-nucleotide ribosomal RNA is filed under the name uncultured bacterium. Its description in RNAcentral is "bacterial SSU rRNA". It matches the Rfam family "Bacterial small subunit ribosomal RNA", at positions 92 to 598 of the family's 1533-position model. The record is from RNAcentral.